UUACUUGGAUAACUGUGGUAAUUCUAGAGCUAAUACAUGCAAAUAGAACUCCAACCGGAGACGGAAGGAGUGCUUUUAUUAGAUCAAAACCAAUCGGUGGCGGGCUUGCUCGUCAUCGUACAACUUGGUGACUCUGAAUAACUUUAUGCUGAUCGCACGGUCUUGCACCGGCGACGCAUCUUUCAAAUGUCUGCCUUAUCAACUGUCGAUGGUAGGUUCUGCGCCUACCAUGGUUGUAACGGGUAACGGGGAAUCAGGGUUCGAUUCCGGAGAGGGAGCCUGAGAAACGGCUACCACAUCCAAGGAAGGCAGCAGGCGCGCAAAUUACCCACUCCCGGCACGGGGAGGUAGUGACGAAAAAUAACGAUACGGGACUCAUCCGAGGCCCCGUAAUCGGAAUGAGUACACUUUAAAUCCUUUAACAAGGAUCAAUUGGAGGGCAAGUCUGGUGCCAGCAGCCGCGGUAACUCCAGCUCCAAUAGCGUAUAUUAAAGUUGUUGCGGUUAAAAAGCUCGUAGUCGAAUUUGUGUUCCGCGCCGCUGGUUCAUCGUUCGCGGUGUCAACUGGCGUGCCGCGGAACGUCCUGCCGGUGGGCUUCACUCGCAAGGGUGGCCCUACUUAAUCCCGCCGCGGUGCUCUUUAUUGAGUGUCGAGGAGGGCCGGCACGUUUACUUUGAACAAAUUAGAGUGCUUAAAGCAGGCUAAAAUUAUGCCUGAAUAUUUUGUGCAUGGAAUAAUAGAAUAGGACCUCGGUUCUAUUUUGUUGGUUUUCGGAACCCCGAGGUAAUGAUUAAUAGG
RNAcentral lists this ribosomal RNA (798 nucleotides) under Telmatophilus typhae. RNAcentral describes it as "SSU rRNA". It matches the Rfam family "Eukaryotic small subunit ribosomal RNA", at positions 135 to 876 of the family's 1831-position model. Lineage: Eukaryota; Metazoa; Arthropoda; Insecta; Coleoptera; Cryptophagidae. The record is from RNAcentral.